GCUCCCAUGGCACAGCUGGAUAGCGCGGCCCCCUCCUAAGGGGCAGGUCACAGGUUCAAAUCCUGUUGGGAGCG
This 74-nucleotide transfer RNA is filed under the name Vibrio vulnificus CMCP6. Its description in RNAcentral is "tRNA-Arg". It matches the Rfam family "tRNA". From Rfam's summary of the family: Transfer RNA (tRNA) molecules are approximately 80 nucleotides in length. Their secondary structure includes four short double-helical elements and three loops (D, anti-codon, and T loops). The record is from RNAcentral. Lineage: Bacteria; Pseudomonadati; Pseudomonadota; Gammaproteobacteria; Vibrionales; Vibrionaceae. RNAcentral also lists the same sequence under 1 other name.